AACCUGCCCUUGGGAGGGGAACAACAACUGGAAACAGUUGCUAAUACCCCAUAAGUUGAGAAGCAAAAGGAAGAAUCCACCCAAGGAGGG
Molecule: non-coding RNA, 90 nt
Filed under: Amborella trichopoda
Lineage: Eukaryota; Viridiplantae; Streptophyta; Magnoliopsida; Amborellales; Amborellaceae
Source: Rfam by way of RNAcentral